Molecule: ribosomal RNA, 440 nt
Filed under: uncultured bacterium
Lineage: Bacteria
Description: partial 16S ribosomal RNA
Rfam family: Bacterial small subunit ribosomal RNA
Source: RNAcentral
CCUACGGGAGGCAGCAGUGGGGGAUAUUGCACAAUGGGGGAAACCCUGAUGCAGCGACGCCGCGUGGGUGAAGAAGCGCCUCGGCGCGUAAAGCCCUGUCAGCAGGGAAGAAAAUGACGGUACCUGAAGAAGAAGCCCCGGCUAACUACGUGCCAGCAGCCGCGGUAAUACGUAGGGGGCAAGCGUUAUCCGGAUUUACUGGGUGUAAAGGGGGCGCAGACGGCGAUGCAAGCCAGGAGUGAAAGCCCGGGGCCCAACCCGGGGACUGCUCUUGGAACUGCGUGGCUAGAGUGCAGGAGGGGAAGGCGGAAUUGCUGGUGUAGCGGUGAAAUGCGUAGAUAUCAGGAGGAACACCGGGGGCGAAGGCGGCCUGCUGGACUGCAACUGACGUUGAGGCCCGAAAGCGUGGGGAGCAAACAGGAUUAGAUACCCGGGUAGUC